CGCAGCCGCGGUAAUUCCAGCUCCAAUAGCGUAUAUUAAAGUUGCUGCAGUUAAAAAGCUCGUAGUUGAAUUUCGGGACCAAUAUGUCGGUCGUGCCUCGGUACGUACUGGCAUCGUUGGUUUCUCCCUUCUGACGAACCAUGAUGUCAUUUAUUUGGUGUCGUGGGGAAUCAGGACUGUUACUUUGAAAAAAUUAGAGUGUUUAAAGCAGGCUCACGCUUGAAUACAUUAGCAUGGAAUAAUGAAAUAGGACGUUUGAUUCUAUUUUGUUGGUUUCUAGGAUCGACGUAAUGAUUAAUAGGGAUAGUUGGGGGCAUUAGUAUUCAAUUGUCAGAGGUGAAAUUCUUGGAUUUAUUGAAGACUAACUACUGCGAAAGCAUUUGCCAAGGAUGUUUUCAUUAAUCAAGAACGAAAGUUAGGGGAUCGAAGACGAUCAGAUACCGUCGUAGUCUUAACCAUAAACUAUGCCGACUAGGGAUCGGAUGAUGUAAUUUUUAAUGG
This 501-nucleotide ribosomal RNA is filed under the name uncultured Glomus. Its description in RNAcentral is "SSU rRNA". It matches the Rfam family "Eukaryotic small subunit ribosomal RNA", at positions 569 to 1075 of the family's 1831-position model. Lineage: Eukaryota; Fungi; Glomeromycota; Glomeromycetes; Glomerales; Glomeraceae. The record is from RNAcentral.